AGUGAACGCUGGCGGUAGGCCUAACACAUGCAAGUCGAACGGCAGCACAGUAAGAGCUUGCUCUUACGGGUGGCGAGUGGCGGACGGGUGAGGAAUACAUCGGAAUCUACUUUUUCGUGGGGGAUAACGUAGGGAAACUUACGCUAAUACCGCAUACGACCUACGGGUGAAAGCAGGGGAUCUUCGGACCUUGCGCGAUUGAAUGAGCCGAUGUCGGAUUAGCUAGUUGGCGGGGUAAAGGCCCACCAAGGCGACGAUCCGUAGCUGGUCUGAGAGGAUGAUCAGCCACACUGGAACUGAGACACGGUCCAGACUCCUACGGGAGGCAGCAGUGGGGAAUAUUGGACAAUGGGCGCAAGCCUGAUCCAGCAAUAUCGCGUGGGUGAAGAAGGCCUUCGGGUUGUAAAGCCCUUUUGUUGGGAAAGAAAAGCAGCAGGUUAAUACCCUGCUGUUCUGACGGUACCCAAAGAAUAAGCACCGGCUAACUACGUG
Molecule: ribosomal RNA, 492 nt
Filed under: uncultured bacterium
Lineage: Bacteria
Description: partial 16S ribosomal RNA
Rfam family: Bacterial small subunit ribosomal RNA
Source: RNAcentral